Molecule: ribosomal RNA, 469 nt
Filed under: uncultured bacterium
Lineage: Bacteria
Description: partial 16S ribosomal RNA
Rfam family: Bacterial small subunit ribosomal RNA
Source: RNAcentral
GACGAACGCUGGCGGCGUGCUUAACACAUGCAAGUCGAACGGAAAGGCCCUGCUUGCAGGGUGCUCGAGUGGCGAACGGGUGAGUAACACGUGGGUGAUCUGCCCCUUACUUUGGGAUAAGCCUGGGAAACUGGGUCUAAUACUGGAUAGGACCAUGCUGUAGGUGGUGUGGUGGAAAGAUUAGUUUCGGUCAGGGAUGAGCUCGCGGCCUAUCAGCUUGUUGGUGGGGUAAUGGCCUACCAAGGCGUCGACGGGUAGCCGGCCUGAGAGGGUGGACGGCCACAUUGGGACUGAGAUACGGCCCAGACUCCUACGGGAGGCAGCAGUGGGGAGUAUUGCACAAUGGGCGCAAGCCUGAUGCAGCGACGCCGCGUGGGGGAUGACGGCCUUCGGGUUGUAAACUCCUUUCAGCCAUGACGAAGCCCUUGUGGUGACGGUAGUGGUAGAAGAAGCACCGGCUAACUACGAG